RNAcentral lists this unclassified non-coding RNA (234 nucleotides) under uncultured fungus. RNAcentral describes it as "sequence contains ITS1". Lineage: Eukaryota; Fungi. The record is from RNAcentral.
AAAAUUUCAAUAGCCUCUCAUGAGCUGGCCGUAAAAUUGCGACCAGAAAUGAAUGUUGGCACCACAUUUUGUGCACUGUAACGUCUUUGGUGGUUGGGCGGUUUGUCUGUUUGUGACAAUUCCGUCUGUCAGCUUGGAUCUAUUAUUAUCCUCGCCGUGGACACGCCACCGUUUGUCUUUCAACCUAUGUUUUCAUGAAUUGUCUGACAAAUAUUUGUAUUGAAAAUAUACAAA